AUACAGAGGGUGCGAGCGUUAAUCGGAAUUACUGGGCGUAAAGCGCGCGUAGGCGGUUAUUUAAGUCAGAUGUGAAAUCCCUGGGCUCAACCUAGGAACUGCAUCUGAAACUGGAUAACUAGAGUUUAGGAGAGGGGUGUAGAAUUUCGGGUGUAGCGGUGAAAUGCAUAGAGAUCCGAAGGAAUACCAGUGGCGAAGGCGACUCCCUGGCCUAGAACUGACGCUGAGGUGCGAAAGCGUGGGUAGCAAACGGGAUUAGAAACCCUAGUAGUCC
RNAcentral lists this ribosomal RNA (274 nucleotides) under uncultured bacterium. RNAcentral's name for it is "partial 16S ribosomal RNA". It matches the Rfam family "Bacterial small subunit ribosomal RNA", at positions 523 to 796 of the family's 1533-position model. The record is from RNAcentral.